GCAGAUGUGGCAGCCAUGUGUGAAAUGAAUCUUGAGAUAUAAUUCAAGCGGCCGAGAAAACCUCUGACUUGCUUUUCAGUUUUGGGCGCAGGCAUCUCUUGUAUUGCUCUCGCUGACAAUAAAGCCCAACAACUUACCAGUUUUUGGGCGCAUACAUCUCUUGUAUUGCAUCUCUUGUACUUCCUCAAACGCUGGAAUAACUUCAACAUAUGCUCAACA
RNAcentral lists this long non-coding RNA (219 nucleotides) under Lathyrus oleraceus (garden pea). RNAcentral describes it as "Pisum sativum (pea) long non-coding RNA (PSAT_LNC028686)". The record is from RNAcentral. Lineage: Eukaryota; Viridiplantae; Streptophyta; Magnoliopsida; Fabales; Fabaceae.